GAACAAUGGAAAAAUUGCGGAACAAGAGACCGUGGAUAAAAUCGAAGAGAGUUAACAUGUGUACACAACACUUUUGAUCUAUCUAUCCGCCAU
Non-coding RNA from Caenorhabditis elegans, 93 nucleotides. Lineage: Eukaryota; Metazoa; Nematoda; Chromadorea; Rhabditida; Rhabditidae. The record is from Ensembl.